Molecule: ribosomal RNA, 424 nt
Filed under: uncultured eukaryote
Lineage: Eukaryota
Description: SSU rRNA
Rfam family: Eukaryotic small subunit ribosomal RNA
Source: RNAcentral
CAAUAGCGUAUAUUAAUGUUGUUGCAGUUAAAAAGCUCGUAGUCGGAUUUCAAUGCGGGUUGACCGGUCUGCCGAUGGGUAUGCACUGGUUGAGCCGUAUUUCCUCCCGGAGACCUCGCCUACUCUUAACUGAGGCGGGCGGGGGAAACGGGACUUUUACUUUGAGGAAAUCAGAGUGUUCAAAGCAGGCCAAUUGGUUUUUGUAUGUGUUAGCAUGGGAUAAUGAAAUAGGACUUUGGUGCUAUUUUGUUGGUUUCGAACACCGAAGUAAUGAUUAAUAGGGAUAGUCAGGGGCACUCGUAUUCCACCGAGAGAGGUGAAAUUCUCAGACCAGUGGAAGACGAACUUCUGCGAAAGCAUUUGCCAGGGAUGUUUUCACUGAUCAAGAACGAAAGUUAGGGGAUCGAAGAUGAUUAGAUACCAU